CGAACGCUGGCGGUAUGCUUAACACAUGCAAGUCGAACGAGACGAGAUGGAAGGAUCCUCGGGUGACGGAAAUCUUAGAAAGUGGCGAACGGGUGAGUAACGCGUGGGUAACCUGCCCUAUGGAAAGGAAUAGCCUCGGGAAACUGGGAGUAAUGCCUUAUAAUACAUUGAAGUCGCAUGGCUUUGAUGUUAAACGCUCCGGUGCCAUAGGAUGGACCCGCGUCCCAUUAGCUAGUUGGUGAGAUAACAGCCCACCAAGGCGACGAUGGGUAACCGGUCUGAGAGGGCGAACGGUCACACUGGAACUGAGACACGGUCCAGACUCCUACGGGAGGCAGCAGUGGGGAAUAUUGCGCAAGUACGGGGGAAACCCUGACGCAGCAAUACCGCGUGAGUGAAGUAAGGUUUUCGGAUCGUAAAGCUCUGUUAUUGGGGAAAGAAAAAAGACGGUACCCAAGAAGAAAGUCCCGGCUAACUACGUGCCAGCAGCAGC
This 493-nucleotide ribosomal RNA is filed under the name uncultured bacterium. RNAcentral's name for it is "bacterial SSU rRNA". It matches the Rfam family "Bacterial small subunit ribosomal RNA", at positions 30 to 518 of the family's 1533-position model. The record is from RNAcentral.